This is an RNA transcript of Callorhinchus milii (elephant shark), 1912 nucleotides long. It is a transcript of the gene named RAD18 E3 ubiquitin protein ligase, with no coding region annotated. Lineage: Eukaryota; Metazoa; Chordata; Chondrichthyes; Chimaeriformes; Callorhinchidae. The record is from RefSeq and is a predicted model, not a curated record. The transcript has 13 exons.
GGAGCGACGCUGUAGUGACCGGAAGCGCUGAGCGGUUUUUUUGUUACAAUGUAUCAGUUUGAGACGCGGCGAUUGUUGAAGCCCGUCGACGACCUCCUGCGUUGCGGCAUCUGCUUCGAGUACUUCGACAUUGCCAUGAUCAUCCCUCAGUGUUCGCAUAACUAUUGUUCGCUUUGCGUACGGAAAUUCCUGUCUUAUAAAACUCAGUGUCCAAUCUGCUGUGCGACAGUCACGGAGCCUGAGCUGAGGAAUAACAGACUCUUGGACGAGUUGGUGAAGUGCUUUCGUUCUGUGAGGGAGUUGCUGUUGGAGUGUGAUUUGGAACCGUCGCCGUCACCAACCCAGACGAUGCCCAAAUCCGCUUCGGAAAAGCCACCCGGAGGCCCCAGGGGCCAUGCUAACAUGGCACCGUCCAUCACAGCCAUGGAGAGAUUCCUGACCAGGAGCCCUUCCUCGAAACUUGCGAAGGCUUCGCUAGCCCCGUCCAUCAAGCAGCUGAAAGGCCCCCAACAGGGGAAACUUAGAGCAAUCGCUGCACGAACGGCAAGCGUUUCAUCUGAUAACACGGCCCUCCCGAGCGAGAGCAUCGCCCUCUGCACAGAGGCACCUUCUACGUCCAGUUUAGCAGCGAAAGUGCAGUGUCCAAUCUGCAGUGUUGACAUUUCUGAAGCUAACAUCAACAGGCACCUAGACAACUGUUUAGCACGAGAAGACAAGAUAGAGAGCUUGCGAAGUACUACCAUGAAACGGAAAUUGAUGCCGAAAGUCGUCUACAACUUGCUUUCGGAUCGGGAUCUGAAGAAGAGGUUGAAGGAGUGUGGACUCUCCUCUCAGGGGACCAAAGCCCAGCUGAUUAAAAGGCACCAAGCGUUUGUGCAAAUGUACAAUGCCCAAUGUGACUCUCUCAACCCCCAGUCAGCGGCCGAGAUUGUGAAGAAAAUCGAAAGCAAUGAAAAGAGCCAAGCUCAGCUCGAAAAACAGGCCAGCCAAAAUGUGCUGAAAUUUUCGAAGAACCAGUCAGAAAAAGAAAUCGAUGAGAUACAUACAAAUUAUCGCAAGAAGCACCAGAGAGAGUUUCAGCAGCUGAUCGACAAACUGAAGAACAGAGGGAACGAGAGGAAAGUGAAGUGUGAAGAAAAAGAAAGCAAGAUCGAAGGAUAUUUUUAACCUUCGCAGGAAAAAGUGAUGUGGAGAGCGAGGUGCUAGACUGUACUGUAGAACAGACACCUCAGUGCGAGACAGACGUGUCGGAUGAAUUAGUUAGCAGCAGCUCACUGCCGAGGCAGGAGACUCCAGAGUUCCAACCCGCUGCCUUUCCCACGAUUCUCAAUUCACCCUCGACAACAGCCAGUUUGUGCAGCUCCAACUCUGACAUCUGCCAAGAUCUCUCAGGUUCUCAGGAGUCCAUUCAAUCACCGCACAAGGAGCCGUCGGUCUUGAAUACGCGAAAGAGACAAAGGCAGAAAUCGCUGAAGACAGUUGAUUCUCAGAGAAAGCGAGCAAAAAAUUGAGUCCAGGAGGUCAGGAACUGAGGAGAAGAAAAGACUGAGGAGAAGAACAGGACUUGUGGCAGCAGAUCGACAGUGUAUUUUUCACCAGUCGGUCCUUUGUAAGAACGUGCGCAAGCAAAACCGUCGUUUAACGGAAACAGCCCAAGGCCAUUGUUAUUUUUAAAUGUUUUUUAAAAUUGCGCAAAGCGCUUACAAUUUACUUCCUGAAGUGUUGUUGUGUUGCACUGAAGAUAUAUAUAUAUAUAUAUAUCUGUUGCAUUUUGCUUGCUUCGGUUUGAGGUAAAUUCUUUUGCAAUUGAACUGUUAACGUUCUCAAUGCAGUUGAGCUUGGACUACAGUAUGUUAUGCCAUUUUGGUCUUCAGAAAAACAAAUAAAUGUUGUUUUGUUGGGAACCCGUGAA